RNAcentral lists this long non-coding RNA (300 nucleotides) under Rattus norvegicus (Norway rat). RNAcentral's name for it is "long non-coding RNA NONRATT031935". The record is from RNAcentral. Lineage: Eukaryota; Metazoa; Chordata; Mammalia; Rodentia; Muridae.
GGAAAAGAUUGACUGUGUUCAAGACAUUUCACUGUCCAGGUUCCUGAAAAGCAUGGUGUAUCACACUUAGUAAGAAAAGCUCUUGGGACUUCAAGACUCUGAAGAAAGAAAUUGAAGAAGACCUCAGAAGAUGGAAAGAUCUCCCAUGCUCAUGGAUUGGCAGGAUUAAUAUAGUAAAAAUGGCCAUUUUACCAAAAGCGAUCUACAGAUUCAAUGCAAUCCCCAUCAAAAUACCAAUCCAAUUCUUCAAAGAGUUAGACAGAACAAUUUGCAAAUUCAUUUGGAAUAACAAAAAACCCA